GGGAAUAACGGAACGCCAAAUAGGCAAUGAACCCUUCACGAGGAGGAGGUGGAUAGAACCCAGCAAAGUGGUAGAGUUUUACAAAAGCUGGCAUUACCUACAUCCUGGAUUUGCUGCUUUCUUGGAAAGGAAAACGAAGUCUCUGAGAUUUAGUUUCUUUGGAAGAGAAUUGUCUAUUUGGAAGUGUCUUAUAAUUUAAAAGGAGAGAAAACUGCCUAAUGGCACCCAUGUGAGUGCACUGCUCUGAAGUUGCUGAAGUAUGAAAUACAGCAUUUUCCUUGCCUGGUAGCCAUUCCAUCAAUUGUCUUAUAAUAAAAGAUAGCUACUUCCACGUAAACCUAAGGAAAGGAAUUGGCAGAGAGUCAAGGAAGAAGAGCUGAGCAGUGAAGUCUUAACUCCCUCAGCUAAUGUGUUUCUUUCUUCAAAACAUGAACUUCACUUCUUUCUAAUUGGUGUUUCUUUUCAUGGCUGGCACUCUCUGUGGCUUUUUGACUCACACAGAUUAUUAUGUGAGAAGAAGACAUACGUUUAAACUGUUGGAGUAAAGAAAGCAGUUUCCCCACACAGUUCUACACUUGACUCAAGAGAUGGAGACUGAAGAAGACAGUAUGAAGAAAACCAGAUGAAGGAACUUUAACCAAACAUCUGCCACACUACAAUGGAAUCUAUGUACAAUGUAGAAAAAGUCAUUUUAAAAGGCCAAAUUAUCAAGUGGACAGUAGAAAUGGACUGCAAAGAAGCAUGUGAAAUGUCAUCUCAAAGUGGAGAGAUUAUGAACUGCGAUUCCUCCAGGAACAUUGCUUGUUGGUCUGUGCAAAACUUCACAUGCACAAGUUUUCCACUGUGUUCAUCAUGAUUUCUGGCAUGGAUGCUUCAUCUAGUUUGAGUUGUUAUUAUGUAUGUGUCCAUAUAAAAUUUUUGGUUGUAUCGUGAGAAUAAAAUCAAAAUCCUUAGA
This 955-nucleotide long non-coding RNA is filed under the name Mus musculus (house mouse). RNAcentral's name for it is "predicted gene 2516 (Gm2516)". The record is from RNAcentral. Lineage: Eukaryota; Metazoa; Chordata; Mammalia; Rodentia; Muridae.